Long non-coding RNA from Carassius auratus (goldfish), 450 nucleotides. The record is from Ensembl. NCBI's taxonomy places the organism in Eukaryota, Metazoa, Chordata, Actinopteri, Cypriniformes, Cyprinidae.
AUGGGGCACUGGCUGGUGGAUGGUGGAGGUGGUACAGGGGGCCUAGUGGUAGUAAUGGGGCACUGGCUGGUGGAUGGUGGUUUCACAAAACUGAGGUUUAGGGGUGCCGGCGACCUAGUGGAGGUAGUGGGACAUGGAAUAGGAGGUUGGAGAAGCUUUUCAGCACAAGCUGGGCCACUGAGGAGAGCUGUUUGCAGAGAAGAUUGUAGAUGUGGUCAGUGUCACUCAAGAAUUAUUUCCUGUAUAUUCUUGUUCAUUGAGUAAAUGUGUAUCUUUUGUUUCAACAGCUGACACUUUCUCCAUGACAGAGGAAAGGAACAUUUGAUCUGGGGAAAUAAAUUAUAAAUAAAACACUUGCACAAAUCAUUGGUUACUUGUAAUUAUUUCACAGUCAUGUGGUUUAUUUACCAUUUUGCAUCCUUUCAGCGAUGUCCUUGGAAACAUGACAAC